AACAGUAUAGGGUCAUUUCAAGCUAAACAAUAUGUUUUUAAAUCUAAUGACAGGAAUAGCAUGGAUAUACAGUGUGAAGUUGAUGCCUUGUUAGAACGGCAGAAAAGAGAAGCCAUGCCCAAUCCAAAGACUCCCUCUAGCAAACGACAAGUAGACCCAGAGUUUGCAGAUAUGAUAAAUGUAUAAGAAUUCUGCAAAGCAGAAGAGGUUGAUGAAGAUAGUGUCUAUGGUGUAUUUGUCUCUUAUAUCGAAAUAUAUAGUAAUUACAUUUAUGAUCUAUUGGAAGAGGUGCCGUUUGAUCCCAUAAAGCCUAAGUAAUAGCAAAGAGAGUCCCUUGUCAGCU
Molecule: long non-coding RNA, 343 nt
Organism: Lutra lutra (Eurasian river otter)
Lineage: Eukaryota; Metazoa; Chordata; Mammalia; Carnivora; Mustelidae
Exons: 3
Source: RefSeq, a predicted model, not a curated record